Sapajus apella (tufted capuchin) is the source of this 2178-nucleotide long non-coding RNA. RefSeq lists it as uncharacterized. Lineage: Eukaryota; Metazoa; Chordata; Mammalia; Primates; Cebidae. The record is from RefSeq and is a predicted model, not a curated record. The transcript is spliced from 2 exons.
UUAGGUAGCCAUAUACUAGGAAAAAUAAUUUUGGCCAAUCACUUGGUCAAGAUCAUUGCUAGUAGCUGGAAAAUGUAUGCUAUAUAAUAAGUAGAGAUAGAACAUAUUCUGAACGUUUUGUCAGGAGUUAAGUUUUGCCAAAUACUUUCAAGUGUUACAUUGGUAAAGCCAAGUUCAAUCACCAAAUGAGAAGAGGUCAACUCCGACUAUCCCACUUAUCCAUGGUUCCAUGAUUUCUCACAAGAAUGAAGCUUAUUACUUGGGAAACAUGAUUCUCUACCUCUGAAGACUUGUCUUUUAUAGAUAAAUGAGUGUUAUGUCAAUGAAUUCGCUCAUUUUUUCAUGACCAAGUAGGCAUUAUCCCUCCAAAGCAUACUAUUUUGGGGCAACAGGACUAACUGAUAAACAGAAUUCUUCUUUUAUAAUGUCAAAGAUCUCUUUACUUUUGACAUCCCAGAUUUCCAACUAAGGCCCUAGGAAGCUUUUUGUGGAGAUUAUUGUGUAGUUAUCAUGAAGUUAUCUCUUUAGACUCAUGUCUACACAAGGGAAGAUAUUGUUGCCACAGUAUGAACAACUGUUCUUCAGGUCUUCAUUAAUUUGCUUCAGUGAUCAGGCUAGCAUGAGCAAAGGCUAAACACAACCACAUAAAAAACUAGUUAUGUGGUUGUAGUUUAUGUCAGGUCCAAACCAUCCAGAAUCCAUUCUGGUAAGGUAUGUUACCAAGAAUGUCUCUUAUUCUAUGAGAUUUUAUGUCAGGAGAUUUGACUUAAUUUUGACCAACAGAGAAAUCUGAGGAUGAGAAUUGCAAGAGGUAUAUCAAAAUAUUGAGAAGGUAAAGGAAGUUAAUAUUGAAAGGAUACAUUCCAGUUGUGUCAAGCACUUUACUUAUGUUGUUUUUUCUCUGCAACAACCCUGUAUACAUUAUUGCUCAAUUCUACUAGUGGACAAAGAGAAGCUUCUGGAUCUUUAAAUUUUUACCUGAGGCCAUAAAGCAAGUAACUGGUAAUGCUGCAAGUUAAACUGAAUACCAUAUUUGCCUGAAGCCCAUAAUGUCCUGAAUACCGGUUUCAGCCAAAGGACUUAAAAGACCUUGGUAAAAUUUAGCUAACAUUGCUGAUGCCAUUUAUGGUGAUAGUACCUUCUCUCUCUUUCAUCUUUAUGUUGCCUCACUUUUCAAAGUCACUCCCUGUAAUAAGCUUCUAUUUUGUCUUUCUUUCUCUUCCUCUUUCCUUUGCUCCUAGAGAACAUUGAAGAUCUAUCAUCUUCGAUAUCAAACUUCAUCCAUAUCAGACAUCUUUCACAUCAAUUUAAUAAAAGUAGCUCCAUUAAUGAGUAACAGUGAUCUACCAGUUCACAAUAGUUUCUACGGUAUUUUUUUCCUCAGGGAGUAUGAAUGUAAAUCUGUCAGUCCAAAAUUCAGGGUGUCUGUAAAUGUUCUGUAAAAUCCUUAUGAUAUAUUAUAUAAUCCUUCAAGCUUUCUUCCAAAACUCUUUUAUAUAUUUUCAUUAAUCUAACAAUUUUUUUUCUAGGAAAUUUCUUUUGAGAUGAGGAAACAAACUUUUAUGGAGACCUAAGAGACUGAAGACAUCUGGCCUGGACUACUCCGAUGGUAAAAUUGAAAGUACAUUGAAAUUUGCUUUGUUAUAGGAUUCUCUUCAGAGGACAAGAGAAGACGUUAUAUUCUCUGCAGGAGGACAAUUCUGCAGCAUCAACAUUGAAUAAUACUUGUUUUCUGGCAGCAGAAUUUUGUAUCAUAUUUCCAAAGACAGUAAGCACUUGGGUGGACGUCAAUGAAUACUAAACACUAAUUGAUCUGAUACAGCCAUAUGCACAUACACAGAUAUACAUGGUAGCUUAUAAUGGUUGAAAAAUUACAGUUUGGUUCUAUUAAAAGAUCUGUCACUUUUAGGUCAGAGUGGGAUUUUGGGGGGGUAGUCUCCCACAAUAGAAAACUAUCUUGACAACAGUGGUGUUUUGGGGUUGUUUGUUGUUUAGCUUGUUGAUGAUGCUUAGCUAAGGAGACACUUCCUUUCAGAUUCUGUCUUCGAAACCCCAGGGCUCUGUUCUGGGCAGUUCAGCCUAAUGGAAUUAAGCCUGACAUGUUUCAACUCUAUUUCUUGAUAAAAUAAACAUAAAACAAUGGUUUAGAUUUCGAAUAAAACUCUUGAAGCAUGGGGA